UAAACUUCUUCCUUACAUGGCACAGUGACC
This 30-nucleotide non-coding RNA is filed under the name Mus musculus (house mouse). Lineage: Eukaryota; Metazoa; Chordata; Mammalia; Rodentia; Muridae. The record is from RNAcentral.